Non-coding RNA from Mustela putorius furo (domestic ferret), 46 nucleotides. NCBI's taxonomy places the organism in Eukaryota, Metazoa, Chordata, Mammalia, Carnivora, Mustelidae. The record is from Rfam.
UUCCAGGUUUUUUUUAAAACCACAUAGCUAAAAUCACAGGUAAUAU